CCUAGAGGAUUAAGAAGGCGGGGCCUGUUAAGCAGGGCUCUGCCGAUACCCUCCUCUUAGAGAAACGGGAUGGGGAGAGGGGUCCAGCUUACAGAACAGCAGAGACCUCACUGUGCCAUCCGACAGCC
Molecule: non-coding RNA, 128 nt
Organism: Elgaria multicarinata webbii
Lineage: Eukaryota; Metazoa; Chordata; Lepidosauria; Squamata; Anguidae
Product: small Cajal body-specific RNA 4
Exons: 1
Source: RefSeq, a predicted model, not a curated record